CAAUAGCGUAUAUUUAAGUUGUUGCAGUUAAAAAGCUCGUAGUCGGAUUUUGGCUGAGAACGAUCGGUCCGCCGUUAGGUGUGCACUGAUUGGUCUCAGCUUCCUGGUGAGGAGGUGUGCUUCACGGCCACUUAGUCACCGUGGUUACUUUGAAAAAAUUAGAGUGUUCAAAGCGGGCUUACGCUUGAAUAUAUUAGCAUGGAAUAACACCAUAGGACUCCUGUCCUAUUUCGUUGGUCUCGGGACGGGAGUAAUGAUUAAGAGGAACAGUUGGGGGCAUUCGUAUUUCAUUGUCAGAGGUGAAAUUCUUGGAUUUAUGAAAGACGAACUUCUGCGAAAGCAUUGGCCAAGGAUGUUUUCAUUGA
This 365-nucleotide ribosomal RNA is filed under the name uncultured eukaryote. RNAcentral's name for it is "partial 18S ribosomal RNA". It matches the Rfam family "Eukaryotic small subunit ribosomal RNA", at positions 592 to 976 of the family's 1831-position model. The record is from RNAcentral.